Long non-coding RNA from Patella vulgata (common limpet), 2792 nucleotides. RefSeq lists it as uncharacterized. The record is from RefSeq and is a predicted model, not a curated record. Lineage: Eukaryota; Metazoa; Mollusca; Gastropoda; Patellidae. The transcript is spliced from 4 exons.
AGUUUUCCUUCUGCAUCUGAUAGCAGUGAUAGUGAUACAGACUAUCCAUUAAGCUGGAUAGAUUUUGUUACAAAUAAAGAAAACCUGAUAACAUUCAUAAAAGAAAUAUGUUUGAAUACUGAAUGGAACAGACCUGAACUGAAAAGAAUUCAUGCUUUAUUGUUUGGAAAGCAAACCAGAAAAAAAAUUGGGUUUGGACAGAAAGUACUCCAUCAGAAGAAUUACACUACCAGACUACCAAAUUUACUGCUUAAAGAACUUGUGAAGACCAAAAAAAGAAAAUCAAAAAUCUUCGCAAGACCAAUUCCUUUUUUCAAUUUUAAAAUCAGCCCCUACUUGGAACAAUACUUUGCCGACUUCGGGGAACAUUCAAUAUACACAUUUUUUUUUGAUAUUAUAUGUAAAGAGGCUGUAAUAUUCAUUUUAAAAUUCAAGCAAAACCUAAGCUACAUGGAAGCCAAUAAUGUAUGCAUUUCAACGGAAAAAUCAAGUAAAAAUUAAGUGGUGGAACAUUUAAAUAGAUGAAAAUGGUUCUAAAAGCACAAUAUUGUAAUAUGAAUGUGGUUGUAUAUUGCCAUCGCCCCUGACAGUCUAUCCAUCCGGUUUCCACAAAGUUAAUAUGAGAUAAAGAAACUUAUUGAUUUUCAACAAUUUUCGAUUAUUUCUGCCAGAGUUAUGGCCCUUGAUGAUUUUGAAAAUUCCUAAAUCCGAUUGACUUUAAAUUUACACACAUUAAAAAAGGUCAUGAGAUUAAGCAGCCUAUUGAUUUUCAAUGAUAUCUGAUAAUUACUGCCAGAGUUAUGGCCCUUGAUCACUUUGAAAACUCUUUGUGGAUACUCUAGAGGCUGAGUUAUUAUCCAAUUAUUACAGUUAUUACUAUGAGACAAAAAAGGCUAUUGAUUUUCAACAAUUUAUGAUAAUUACUGAAAAAUCUUGUUAUAGCUCUAGAGGCUAAAGAUAAUAUAUGAUUGUUUCCAGUGUCAUAGUAAUCGUUUGUGUAGGCCAGAACUAUUAGAAGCUAAACAAAUUCUAAUAAAUGAUUUCUAAUAAUUAGUUAAUGAGUUGUUAUUCAGAAUAAGAUUUUAAUGUCUUGUAAAAAUUUUAAUUACUUGCAAAAAAAAACCAUGUGACAAUGCUUGUUGACUGCUGGACGACGAAGCUGCUGCAUGCUUAUGUUUCGUUGCCUGGCAGCCUAUCUUUGAAAAAAUAUUGUAAUUUGUAACCAAUUAUGUUCAGUUAAAUAUGCGAACAGCUCAAAAUGAAUGCACAUUGUUUUUGACUGUUUAGUGCAUCCUACACGUUUUUUAAAAUUAUUAUUUUGUUGUUUGUGAAUUACUUCCACAUUGUGUUAUAGGAUAUGUUUUUGUGUGUACCAUUACAAAAUGGUACCCCAAGCCAUAAGGUACAUGACUCGCGUACACUACUGAUUAUAAAAUAUUAAUUGUGUCUUCAAUAUUGGAUAUUAGGAUCCUAUAUUUUCCGGCAAGAAUGAAAUUGGUCAAUAUUGAAUUCCAAUUCAUGUUUUUAAUUUAAAUAUAUGUGAGAAAAUGUCUGCUAUAAAGUUUUUUUAAUUAAAUUUGAAUAAAAACACUCUGUAAUAAUGUUUUGUAUAACUUAAGUGGUGGUGGGUAAAAGAUUAUGUUGUCCAGUGAAUAAUAAGUUGACUCAAAAUUUUAUAUGUAACAUUUGUAUCUUAAGAUUUGUUAUAUUUUCAUUUUCAUAAAUUAUAAUUCUAUAUUAAUUCCUAUACUAUAUUUGAACUAUGUAAUGUUUGUAUCUUUAAGAUUUGUUAUAUUUUUAUUUUCAUGAAGUAUAAUUCCUAUACUAUAUUUGAACUAUGUAAUGUUUGUAUCUUUAAGAUUUGUUAUAUUUUUAUUUUCAUGAAGUAUAAUUCCUAUACUAUAUUUUAACUGUGUACUUCACAUAGAUAAAUUUCAUACUGUAAAUUUAUUUCAGUAAUUUCUAUAGCUAGGGACAAAGUGAAAUUAAUGUCCUUGUGUUUUUGGAACAUGUUUUUUUAAAUUUAAAUUAUUAUUUUGUUAUUUGUGAAUGAGUCUUUACUAAUUACUUGUACCUGGUGUUGUAGGAUAUGUUUUUAUUUGUUCAUUACAAAAUGAAACCAUUGGAUAAAUAUUGGAUAGUAGGAUCAUAUCUUUUCACAUCAAUAUUGCUUGAAAUUGAUCAAUAUUGAAUUUAAGUUGUGUUUUUAAUUUCGAAAUACAGAUUUACAAUAUCAUUGUAAAAUUGUAAUGUUUGUGGUUAUUUUGUUUACAAAUGUGCUAAUUUUAGUACAUUGUUUGUCGUAUUUAAAUUUUGUAAAAUUGUUGGGGUUUUGUACUAUAUAAUUUUAAUUUAAAUUGACUUGCAACAAUUCCCAAUAAUAAGUGCCAGAGUAAUGGCCCUUAAUAUCUUCUAGAGGCUAUAGUUAAUGUCUUCUAGAGGCCAAAGUUAAUAUCCGAUUGACCUUAAAUUUAUAUGCACCGUUUAAGGUCAUGAGAUGAAGAAGCCUAUUUGCGAUAAUUACUACAGAAUGUAGUGGACGCUCUAAAGGCUAAAAGUCCAUUUCAUUCAUUCAUUCACUAAUAUAAAUUGUCAUGAGACAAUCAAUCGAAACAAAUUCAAAUGUUUUCUGAUAAUUACUUCAUUGGUUAUUACUCGUAAUCAGAUUUUCAUGUGUUGUAAAUUUCGUUGCCUGGAACCUAUCGUUAAGUAUUAUAGUUAGAACUGCCAGUUCUUUAUCUUAUCUUCCAUAAUGUAUCUUUAAGUUUUAUGCUGUACUUAAUAAAUUAAUU